This 1759-nucleotide ribosomal RNA is filed under the name Amblyomma gervaisi. RNAcentral's name for it is "SSU rRNA". It matches the Rfam family "Eukaryotic small subunit ribosomal RNA". Lineage: Eukaryota; Metazoa; Arthropoda; Arachnida; Ixodida; Ixodidae. The record is from RNAcentral.
AAAGAUUAAGUCAUGCAUGUCUAAGUACAUGCCGAAACAAGGCGAAACCGCGAAUGGCUCAUUAAAUCAGUUAUGGCUCCUUAGAUCGUUUCUUUCUACUUGGACAACUGUGGCAAUUCUAGAGCUAAUACAUGCAUUGAGCUUAGAGGCCUCUGGCUGACGGGCGGCUUUUAUUAGACCAAGAUCAAUCGGGUAUUCCCCGAACACUGUGGUGACUCUGGAUAACUUUGUGCAGAUCGCACGGCAUGAGCCGGCGACGUUUCUUUCAAGUGUCUGCAUUAUCAACUUUUGAUGGUAGGUUACUUGCCUACCAUGGUUGUUAGGGGUAACGGAGAAUCAGGGUUCGAUUCCAGAGAGGGAGCAUGAGAAACGGCUGCCACAUCCAAGGAAGGCAGCAGGCGCGCAAAUUACCCACUCCCGGCACGGGCAGGUAGUGACGAAAAAUAACAAUACGGGACUCUUUUGAGGCCCCGUAAUUUAAAUGAGUACAGUCUAAAUCCUUUAACGAGGAUCAAUUGGAGGGCGUCUGGUGCCAGCAACCGCGGUAAUUCCAGCUCCAAUUGCAUAUACUAAAGCUGCUGCGGUUAAAAAGCUCAUAGUUGGAUCUCAGUUUCAGACGAGUAGUGCAUCUACCCGAUGCGACGGCUCGGACUGGACAUCAUGCCGGUCUUCUCUUGGUGCCCUUCAUUGGUGUGUCUCGAGAUGACCCGCGCUUUUACUUUGAAAAAAUUAGAGUGAUCAACACAGGCGAGUCGCCUGAAUAAACUUGCAUGGAAUAAUAGAACAACAGCCUGUUUCUCUUUCUGUUGUGUUUUUAGAAUACGGGCUAUUGAUUAAGAGGGACAGACGGGGGCAUUCGUAUUGCGGCGCUAGAGGUGAAAUUCUUGGACCGUCGCAAGACGAGCUACUGCGGAAGCAUUUGCCAAGAAUGUUUUCUUUGAUCAAGAACGAAAGUCAGAGGUUCAAAGGCGAUCAGAUACCGCCCUAGUUCUGACCAUAAACGAUGGCAACCAGCGAUCCGCUUGAGUUACUCAAAUGACUCGGCGGACAGCUUCCGGGAAACCAAAGUAUUUGGGUUCCGGGGGAAGUAUGGUUGCAAAGCUGAAACUUAAAGGAAUUGACGGAAGGGCACCACCAGGAGUGGAGCCUGCGGCUUAAUUUGACUCAACACGGGAAAACUUACCCGGCCCGGACACUGGGAGGAUUGACAGAUUGAGAGCUCUUUCUUGAUUCUGUGGAUGGUGGUGCAUGGCCGUUCUUAGUUGGUGGAGCGAUUUGUCUGGUUAAUUCCAAUAACGAACGAGACUCUAGGCUAUUAAAUAGGUGCGAUUUUUCCCAGCACCUUAAAACCUUCUUAGAGGGACAAGCGGCUCCUAGCCGCACGAAACAGAGCAAUAACAGGUCUGUGAUGCCCUUAGAUGUCCGGGGCCGCACGCGCGCUACACUGAAGGAAGCAGCGUGUCUUUAUCCCUGUCUGAAAAGACUGGGUAACCCGUGGAACUUCUUUCGUGAUUGGGAUAGGAGCUUGCAAUUGUUCCAACUGAACGAGUAAUUCCCAGUAAGCGCGAGUCAUAAGCUCGCGUUGAUUACGUCCCUGCCCUUUGUACACGCCGCCCAUCGCUACUACCGAUUGAAUGAUUUAGUGAGGUCUUCGGACCGAUGUCCGGCGUGGCCUUUCGGUUGCGCCGGUCUGUUGGAAAGAUGACCAAACUUGAUCAUUUAGAGGAAGUAAAAGUCGUAACAAGGUUUGCGUAGGUGA